GAUAAGAACGUAGCGAAAUGCGAUAAGUAGUGUGAAUUGCAGAAUUCAGUGAAUCAUCGAAUCUUUGAACGCACAUUGCGCCCCUUGGUAUUCCAUGGGGCAUGCCUGUUCGAGCGUCAUUUGUACCUUCAAGCUUUGCUUGGUGUUGGGUGUUUGUCUCGCCUUUGCGUGUAGACUCGCCUUAAAAUAAUUGGCAGCCGGAGUAUUGAUUUCGGAGCGCAGUACAUCUCGCGCUUUGCACUCAUAACGACAGCGUCCAAAAGUACAUUUUACACUCUUGACCUCGGAUCAGGUAGGGAUACCCGCUGAACUUAAGCAUAUCAAUAAGCGGAGGA
This 335-nucleotide unclassified non-coding RNA is filed under the name soil metagenome. RNAcentral's name for it is "partial contains 5.8S ribosomal RNA, internal transcribed spacer 2, and large subunit ribosomal RNA". The stretch from base 4 to 119 matches the Rfam family "5.8S ribosomal RNA", at positions 39 to 154 of the family's 154-position model. The record is from RNAcentral.